AAUGAACGCUGGCGGCGUGCCUAACACAUGCAAGUCGGAUGUGCCCGCAAGGGUGCAUGGCAGACGGGUGAGUAACGCGUGGGGAACCUACCUCUUUGUGGGGAAUAACGUUCCGAAAGGAAUGGUAAUACCGCAUGAGACCUUCGGCUGGGAUGCUGGAGGUGAAACCUGGGGACCGUAAGGCCUGGGGCAAGGAGAGGGUCCUGCGUCUGAUUAGCUAGUUGGCGGGGUAAUGGCCCACCAAGGCGACGAUCAGUAGCCGGCCUGAGAGGGUGAUCGGCCACACUGGAACUGAGACACGGUCCAGACUCCUACGGGAGGCAGCAGUGGGGAAUUUUGCGCAAUGGACGAAAGUCUGACGCAGCAACGCCGCGUGGGUGAUGAAGGUCUUCGGAUUGUAAAACCCUGUCGUCAGGGACGAAGGUUGGGGCUUUAAUAGAGUUUCGAACUUGACGGUACCUGGAGAGGAAGCCCCGGCUAACUCUGUG
RNAcentral lists this ribosomal RNA (488 nucleotides) under uncultured bacterium. RNAcentral's name for it is "bacterial SSU rRNA". It matches the Rfam family "Bacterial small subunit ribosomal RNA", at positions 29 to 507 of the family's 1533-position model. The record is from RNAcentral.